CCCGGAGUAUUCUGCUACCACUAAAUCUCCCCUGGCAUCCAUUGAGAACUAGUGGUGACCUCCUUAUGUUCCUUUUGCUAUUACUUCUUUGACCUUUUUUUGAUUCUUCUGCGCUUUUUCAUCUUUUUUUACCCCAAAUUUCCCUUUCUUUUUUAUCAUGUCAAUUACUUCAAUAGUUAUAUGGUUUUAAUUGAUAACCACUGCAAGGGGACAUGUCCUUUAUCCCAUUAUUUCGUCAUGCCUGCUUUUGUUCUAGAAUUACAACCCCAGGGAAGCGAAUUAUUAAUCAAGUUGUCCUUCGAGGUUCUUUAGAUAAGUCACCCAU
This 325-nucleotide long non-coding RNA is filed under the name Elaeis guineensis (African oil palm). Its description in RNAcentral is "long non-coding RNA (EGUI_LNC042597)". The record is from RNAcentral. Lineage: Eukaryota; Viridiplantae; Streptophyta; Magnoliopsida; Arecales; Arecaceae.